This 78-nucleotide transfer RNA is filed under the name Curtobacterium sp. MCLR17_054. RNAcentral's name for it is "tRNA-Ile". It matches the Rfam family "tRNA". Rfam says of the family: Transfer RNA (tRNA) molecules are approximately 80 nucleotides in length. Their secondary structure includes four short double-helical elements and three loops (D, anti-codon, and T loops). The record is from RNAcentral. Lineage: Bacteria; Bacillati; Actinomycetota; Actinomycetes; Micrococcales; Microbacteriaceae.
GGGCCGGUAGCCAAGCUGGUGAAGGCAGUCCGCUCAUAACGGACCGAUGCGCGGGUUCAAGUCCCGCCCGGCCCACCA